This 7107-nucleotide long non-coding RNA is filed under the name Homo sapiens (human). RNAcentral's name for it is "non-protein coding lnc-UBE2H-2:7". The record is from RNAcentral. Lineage: Eukaryota; Metazoa; Chordata; Mammalia; Primates; Hominidae.
GCUUCCCCGCCCGGCCGCCGCCAUGAUGAGGAGGUCGGCGCGGCUGUGCUGCGGGCAGGCAGCGGAGAGGGCUCGCGGCGAGGGCUCCAGCUUACCCCGCCGCCGCGUCGCGUGCACGGAGCGCUUCAGAGGUUUGGAGGGGGCCGGAACCUCAAAAGCAACUGGAUGAGCACAACGCGGACGCCCCGGAGAAGCGGCGCAAGCGGGCCCAAAAUGGUUGCUGAUCAGACGAGUGGCAUCUCUCGCCCCCCUACCGCGGGAAUUGGGACCUCCAGACUGUGCCUGGGGGAUCGGCAAGUGGUUCCCCUCUGGUUUUUUCGGCGCUGCCUUCCCGGUGGUAUCCUCACUCUCUCUCUUUGAAAUGACCUCUGCUUUCCUAUCUCUAACUCUUCCCAGAUAUUUGAAAGCAAGUUUUUGUACAAAGCAACAUAUGAAUGUAUUCAGCCAUUCGAUCGUUCGGCGAACAUUUCUAGGUGUCUCGUGCUGUGCCAGAUAUUGUUCUGAGUGCGCUGAAGAUGCACCUGUUAGCAAGACAAAGUCCUGGCUCCCACGGAGCUUAUUCGAAGCAAUAGGGGCCCCCAAGCAGGUGCCUGAGAAGUAGGGAGGGGUGGACAGUGGGAAAACAACCUAACGGUGGAGACACACGAGGGGUCUUUUUUUACUUUUAGAAACGGGGGUGGGUGGUCACCCUAUGUUGCCUAGGCUGGUCUCGAACUCCUGGGCCCAAGCGAUCCUCCCGACUCAGCCUCCCAAAGUGCUGGUAUUACAGGACACCAUGCCCGGCAGAGGGGUCGUUUUUGUUGUUUUUUUAGUGUCGUCAGGAGACUCCCUCCAUCAGAAUUACUCAGGCUGAUUGUUUUGAGUCCUGGGACCCAGUUGGUAUCCAGAAUCUUGGCUUGUUUGCCUAGGAACCUGCAUUUUCACAUCCCCAUCUCCACACCCCUGGUGAUUCUUAUGCAUAUAAUAAUGUGAAAAGCAUUGCAUUGAAGAAUUGCUAAAGGGUGUCAGAAAACGGAUUAACAAAAUCAGGAAGCUUUAAUUUUCAAGAUUCUAUUAACCUCAAAAUUCAACAUAUCCAAAAAUUGAAUGUCUUUUUCUCCAGUGUUUUCUAGGAGAGUGCCAACACUAGCCACCCAAGUGCUCAAGCCAGAAACCUGGAAAUGAUCCAUUACUCUUUCCUCUGUCUCUGGAGUCCCCAUGUUAAAUUAGAUGUGUUUGUUUGUGAGACAGAUUCUCACUCUAUUACCUAGGCUGGAGGGCAGUGGUGCAAUCAUUGUUCACUGCAGCCUCGACCUCUCUGGGCUCAAGGAUCCUCCCACCUCAGCCUCCCCAGUAGCUGGGACUACAGGUCCCCACCACCACGCCCGGCUAAUUUUUGUAUUUUUAGUAGAGAUGAGGUUUCAUCUUGUUGGCCCGGGCUGGUCUCGAACUCCUAGGCUCAAGUGAUCUGCCUGCCUUAACCUCCCAAAGUGCUGGGAUUACAGCCGUGAGCCACUGCACCCAGCCCCAAUUAGAUUUUUAAAACUGUUGUUCCCUGUCAGUUCUUACUCUGGUUCAGGCUACUGUCAUCUCUCCUAGAGACACUGCGGUAGACUCCUCUUGGUCUCCCUGCCACCGAAAUUGCCCUCUCCAAAUCCACUACAGCUUGAAUGGUCUUUCAAGAAAGAAAAUCAUGUUUUUUCCCUGUUUAAGACUCUUAAAAAGAUCUGAUUAACACGUAGGAUAAAGUCUAAAAUUCUUUGAGGUGGCUACAGGGCCAUUGGUGAUCUCAUCCCUGUUGCCAUCUCUGACCUCAUCUGCCACAGAUAUUUCUCAGGCUACACUCAAAACUGGGAAGCUCUCAGGUCAUUUAAGCCUGGAAAUUGUGCCACCUCACAACUGUUGCAAGGGCUGUUCCCUUUGCCCAUAACUUCAUUUCUCUCUACACCAUCUAUGCACUUACUUGAAUCCUCACCUGAAUAAUUCUUACCAUUCUUUCAGAUCCCAACAUUAAUACCAUCGCCUCCAGGCAGCAUUUUUUCAUCUCCCAAGAUUGGGUGCAUUAGACCCUUUGUCAUCACACCCAGUACUCCCCACGUUUAUUGAGCGCUCACGAUGCGUCAGGCCCUAGUGGAAGCCUUUAUGCACAUUAUCUUCUUUCUCAUUUAAUUAUCAAGUAGAGCCCACAAGGUAGGUACUACCUUUUUUUUAACUUUUGAGACAGGGUCUCACUGUAUCUCCCAGACUGGAAUACAGUGGCGCAAACACAGCUCACUGCAGUCUCAUCCUGGGCUCAAGCAAUCCUCCCAUCUCAGCCUCCUGAGUAGCUGGGACCACAGGCAGAUGCCUGUUGCCCAGGCUGGUCUCCAACUCCUGGGCUCAAGCCGUUCUACCUUAGCCUCCUAAAGUGCAGGGAUUACAGGUGUGCAACUGUGCCCGGCCUGGGUAGUUACUAAUAUUAUCCCAUUUUACAGAUGAAGAAACAAGGACAUAUAGGGGUUACUUGCCCAAACCCAGACAAUAAGCUAGAUCUGAAAGUCAUCAGCCUGACCUCAGAGUUGUACUUUUAACCAUUAUCAGGGUCUCAGGCCAGUACCCACUGAUGAAACACAUAAGUAACUUAGUGGGUCAUUACCAACAUUUCAUUAAAGAAAUAGAAAAUGGCAGAGAACAUCAAACUUAGUAAGGCUCUUGUUUCGUGAAACUUGUCAGAUUCUCUAAUAUGAUAAAUACUAAAUCUUACAAACAUUGAAAAUACAAAAUUAAACAAAAUAUUACCAAGGUUAACACAAAAGUAUGAAUACUGCAGAUCUGAUUUAUUUUACUAUCCUCAUCUUUAAUGCAGAACCUUCUUAGGAUUAAAUGACAUUUACCAUUCUGAGCAAACUGAGGUUACUGCCCCAAACGGACUGGGCUUACCUUUGCAGGAGAACAGGGGAGGCUGUGUUUUGGCUGGAGAUUUUUGGCUAAGAGUCAAGACACAGAGAUUCUUCUGCUACCACUGUGAACACAUCAAGUCCCUUUCACAUAGAUGCUGUUUCCACAAGGGUCUCCCCACACCCUUCCCUACAGAUUAGAUUCCCGUGAUGCCUUAUUUAAUUCUUGUUGGAUCUGUUGAUUUGGUUAUGAAGUAGGUGAAAUUCUGGUAACCUCACCCAGGUUCCUUCCCCUCUUGAUUAGAUCCAGCCAGUCUGUUCGCUGGAUGAUUAAAUUUGGCAUUCAUUUUUCUGUGCUUUCCCUAUCUGCUACUAUCCUAAAGUCAUUCUAAUGACCAAAAAAGGUGCCUUGAGCCAGACUGUAGAGGGUUCUAAUGGCCUCCUUAGAAAUUGUGUUUUUUUGUUUUUUUUUUGAGAUGAGGUUUCGCUCUUGUUGCCCAGGUUGGAGUGCAAUGGUGCGAUCUUGGCUCACUGCAACCUCCGCCUCCCGGGUUCAAGCGAUUCUCCUGCCUCAGCCUCUCAAAUAGCUGGGACUACAGGCAUGCGCCACCACGCCCGGCUAAUUUUGUGUUUUUAGUAGAGACGGGGUUUCACCAUGUUGCCCAGGCUGGUCUCGAACCCCUGACCUCAGGUGACCCACCCACCUCGGCCUCCCAAAGUGCUGGGAUUACAGGCCUGAGCCACCAUGCCUGCCAAGGAACUGGUUCUUAGUAGGCAAUAGACAGUUGACAAUUUUGAGCUAAGCACUAAGGUCAUAGGAGUGUAGAUUCACCAGGGAGUGAGUUGGGCUUCUGGUCUCUAGAGGGCGCUCAAGGCUUCUCCCUCCCCACCCUCUUCCUUCCCCCAAGGUGGAGGUAGGAUGGUGAAGAAAUUUCAUCUCCCCACCACCAAACACACACAAAGGAAGAAAAUCUUACUAAAAUUGGAGAAUAUGGAAUAACAUUUUCUUGGGAUGGAGCCCUUAAAAGAUAACACGUUCAACAGAAAGUGCUGCGUCUUUCCCGUUCUUCAACAUACUCUGAGUGGUAACAAGGGCUGCCCUUGCCUUUCUCAGAGGCAGCCCAGCCAGCUUGUUCUCUUUCCCUCUCCCACAAGGUAGCCAGGCCCUAAGGCUAUGGCCCACAGAAAAAGUCUUAGCAAGGCCCCGGGCUUGGGGCAAAGAGGCUGUGGAUUUGUCUUUCUCUCUACUUUUUCUGGUUAGUGUGCCUCUAUCCCACUCGGAAGAAAAGUUCCAAGACUCAAAUUUGGGCAUUGAUGUGGGGAGGAUAGACAGAGAUGACCAGAAUCCAGCCUAUCUUUCCUGACUUCUGCAUUGUGGUUCAUACCCAGCUAAUAAUAAAGUGUUCCUUUCCCUGGUGUGUCAUUGCACAUGUACUCCCCACACUCCUGAUGAGUAGAGAUGGCUGGCCAAGACAGGAUUCAGACAUUCCCACAUCCCCAACCAAACAUCCUCUCCAUACCAUCUUAUUAAUCAGUCUUUGAACAAUUUCCUAAACUCCCUAACAGGUUGGAGAUGGCUGGAAGAAAUGAAAAGAAGAACGCCAACAAAGGCGAUAAAGAAAAAUUCAACACUGCUUGAUAACUGAUGAGAUAGUGAAGGAGUAGGAGGGCAAAAGUCAGAAGUAAUUCCAGGUGUUCAAGAACUAAAUGCUGAAGAGAUGUUAGUGUCGUUGACGGUCUUCUAAUGGGAAGUGAAUUUCAAUAGAAAGAGGAUGUGUUUGGUUUCAGACAGACCGAGUGACUGGUGACAACAGGAAAGCCACGUGUUUGGAGCAGAUUACUCGGUACAGUCAGCAGCUGGAAUGGAAGUGAAGAAGGCCCAGCAGAGCAUCAGACCUGAGUGCAAACUAUGGUGGUGUUGGUGGAAUAGAGGGAAGGGAGAGAUUUGAGAGACAUUGGGAAGAAAGGUUUUGGUUUUUGAGACAGAGUCUUGCCCUGUCAUCCAGGCUGGAGUGCAGUGGCAUAAUCUUGGCUUACAGCAAACUCCACCUCCCGGGUUCAAGCAAUUAUCAUGCCUCAGCCCCCUAAGUAGCUGGAAUUACAGGCAAGUGCCACCACAUUCAGCUAAUUUUUGUAUUUUUAGUAGAGACAGGGUUUCACCAUCUUAGCCAGGCUGGUCUCAAACUCCUGACCUCAGGUGAUCCACCUGCCUCGGCCUCCCAAAGUGCCGGGAUUACAGGUGUGAGUCACCAUGCCCAGCCACCAGAAGUUUAAUCAAGGCUCAGAGACUGAUUCCAGUUUGAGUUUUCUAAUAACUGUCUAAUACUUAGCUAAUAGCUUUGGACAGUUGCUCUUUUUAAAAUGAGAUCAUUCAAUCAUUGCAUUCAUCUUUGGGUAUGACUCACUAGUCAACAGAGUCCCCCUUCUGUAGAAACUGCCUCAUUCACAGAGAUGACCUCCACCAGUCAUGCCUAUAUUUGAGACCCUGUCUCUCUUUAUCCCCCAUUGCUGCGUGAUUCAAGGGUGGUCACCUGACCCAGGCAGUGCCAAGUUUAUUCUCUGUCUUGGGAAUUUAGAAUGUUUGUUUGGCUAAGAGACACAGAAACUGGAAGCUGGAGCUGAUGAUGGAGCUGAUCACGCUAAUGAUGGAGCUAUAGAGAUAAGAUGCAUGAACACCACCGAGGUCCCCAAGAUUGCCAUAUUCCUGCAGUGCCUUCUGGCCACAGAUAGUUGGUCCAGAAGCAGGUUCCUGACUCAACCUGGGCCAAUUAGAGCCUUUCACGGAGAUUUUGAAAUCAAAGUUGAGAUCUCUCUUUCUCUCUAUGCCCUUUGGUGUAUGUGUACUUGAGCUACAAGUUACCCAACUUUGGAAGCUGUAGACAGAGGCAAUUUUCCACUAAAUGAAGUGAGAAACAGAAAGUCCAUCAUUAGUGAGAGAGGAGCAAGGCAGAUGCACACAGAGAAGCAGAUAGAGGGGAAGCGGGCGGGAGUGGGGCGGGAGUUCCUGGAGUCCCCACAGUGCUCUAGUUUCUGAUUCUCUUCCUAAGACCCACAGGAUUCCUGCCUUUGGGUUUCUUAAGUUCCUGAAUAGCUCCUGAUUGCCUUUGUCUUUUUUACGAAAGUCCUUUGAGCAUGGUUUCAGGUGAGCAGACAGUCCUAACCUAAAGAGCUGUAACAAAUACACGUGGGCUGUGUGUGAGAUUCGGGGAGAGGCACCAGGGAUCCAGUGUGGGUCAGGCGUGGUGCCGCCCUCAAGGAACUUAGUGGGGAGAAAAUGAAGUCUGUACUUCAAUAACUACAGUGCAGGCUAGGAAGAGAACACCCUUAGAGAUGUGCAAAUCAAGCUCUUUGGGAGUUUAGAGGAGGCCUAGGACUGCUAAGGAAAGGCUGGGACUAGGAAGAGGUAAGCAAGUCACUGAGGAGGCAAAAUUUAAGAAGCCACCCACUCUCAGGGUGUGUGAAUGCAGCGUUGGCACUUGCAUGACCCUGAGAAUGAGCAACCCCUUAAAUGUAUCUUAGGCACCUUGCCAGACUCACUUUUAGCUUGCUGGACUAAUUGUGGGGAUCAGUAGGCCUUCAGAGGAAAGUUAGUGUCUGAGCUGAACUGAAGGAUGGGGUGGUUUUGGACUUGGUGGCAAUGUCAUCUACCUCAAGGUAAAGUAACAAUAUGGAAAACGCUCCCGUGAAAAUUCACAAGGUCUGUUCUAGGAUCAUCAGGCUCUUCGGUGUGACUUAAGAGUUCAGAGCAUGAAGGAGGAGGGGGCAGUAAGAAAAAUGGAGAGAACGUAGCAUCAGAUUCUGCAGGCAAGGAGAAAAUUGCUAAGCUGGGAAAUAACAUAAUCAGAGCGGUACUUAAGAUGAAUCUAACGGAAUAGCAUGAAAUAAAGGAAAGGCUAAGGAGAGGACAAACAGGAGGCUAUUGUGGCAAUCCAGGCGUGAAAGUCUAAACUAAUCAGCACUGGGAAUAGAGAUGCCAUAGGAAAAAUAAUACAUCAUUAAUAUAACUUGGCAAUUGAGUAGAUGUUGGAGACAAGAGAGAAAUCAGAAACACUGCUAAACACUAUGCAGCUAUAACAAAGAAUGAGAGAGCAUUCAGUAAGAUCACAUCCAAGAUAUGUACAUGAAAAACACAAGGGAUAGAACUGUGUAUAUGGCAAGCUAUCACUUGCAUUUUUUAUUUUUUAAAUGGUAUUUAUUUAUUUCUUGUUUUUUCCUUUUUUUAAGACUAAAAAAUCAAUUAUAAAAUCCUCAA